RNAcentral lists this ribosomal RNA (253 nucleotides) under uncultured bacterium. Its description in RNAcentral is "partial 16S ribosomal RNA". It matches the Rfam family "Bacterial small subunit ribosomal RNA", at positions 524 to 776 of the family's 1533-position model. The record is from RNAcentral.
UACGAAGGGGGCGAGCGUUGUUCGGAAUUACUGGGCGUAAAGGGCGCGUAGGCGGUGUGUCAAGUCAGGCGUGAAAGCCCCGGGCUCAACCUGGGAACCGCGCUUGAGACUGGCACGCUCGAGUUCGGGAGAGGAUGGUGGAAUUCCCAGUGUAGAGGUGAAAUUCGUAGAUAUUGGGAAGAACACCGAUGGCGAAGGCAGCCAUCUGGACCGACACUGACGCUGAGGCGCGAAAGCGUGGGGAGCAAACAGG